Molecule: long non-coding RNA, 2242 nt
Filed under: Homo sapiens (human)
Lineage: Eukaryota; Metazoa; Chordata; Mammalia; Primates; Hominidae
Description: PCBP1 antisense RNA 1
Source: RNAcentral
GAACACAAAAUGGCGACACGUGGUUAGCAUUCGUCGCCAACGAGAAAUUGGGGUCGGCCCGAAAGCUCUAGAAUGCACCCCUCUUCCUCCCCGGGGCCUUCCACCUCCGCGAGUUUUAUGACUUAAAAAAGCCCACAGGCUGGUCUGAAGAGGAAGACAAACAUAAAGAUGAAGUGCUUAAUUCAAGGUCACACAAUGUCGGGGAUGGACCUCCAGAUUUCCUUACUGGUGAGACGUGGUCUUGUAACACAGUGGUUAAGAAUGUGACUUUGGAGCCAGCCUGCUAGGGGCUGAAUUCUGACUCAGCCAUUUACUAACUGUGUGACCUUAGGUGGGUUCCCAAGCCUGUAAAAUGUAAGCCUUAUGCUGCUGAGGGCCAUCUUGCCACCCUGAGGGAAACGCUGCCUGAGAAUGAAACAAGCAUAAGUAAAAGCUGAGCUGUGAGAUGGAGCAAGAUGAAGGCCACAUGACAUCUUUGGAGCACCUGGAUCUAACUGUGCCUUAAGCUAGUCUAACCCUGAACAUUUCAUCAUUUCAUUGACAUGAGCCCAGGUUUUCUUUUUUUUUGGAUGGAGUCUUGCUCUGUCGCCCAGGCUGGAGUGCAGUAGCUCAAUCUCGGCUCACUGCAAGCUCCACCUCCCGGGUUCACGCCAUUCUCCUGCCUUAGCCUCCCAAGUAGCUGGGACAACAGGCGCCCACCACCACUCCCAGCUAAUUUUUUGUAUUUUUAGUAGAGACGGGGUUUUACCAUGUUAGCCGGGAUGGUCUUGAUCUCCUGACCUCAUGAUCCGCCCGCCUCGGCCUCCCAAAGUGCUGGGAUUACAGGUGUGAGCCACUGCACCCAGCCCUCAGGUUUUCCCUUUUUUUACCCCUCCUUUUGAAAAUUUGAUGUGGAAUUUUGCCACCUGCAGCCAGAAGAGUUUUAACUAAUCAGUGCCAUAAAUUUUAUAUAGUUCUCCUUGCAAAAUGUGGAUCAGCCUUUCUCAGCAAAUCCUUUGUCAUAAAGUGCUGAAUUGUAAGUUUGUCAUGAGAAUCACAUGAGAUCAUGCAUGUGAAGAACCUGGCAUUAUCCUCCUCAUAGAAAAAAACCAGUAAAUAUUAACUACAGGAAGCAAGGAAGGAGUGGGGUGAGGGGAAGAAGAAGGGGUACUGAUUUAAAAGAACCCUGGAGUCCUAAGGAUAAUCUAGGAACCCUCAGACCCAAUCCGAUACCCCUAUUCUAAAUGCUCCUAGUGCCCUGUACCUUCCCCUCAUAAGCCUUCAUUAUCAUUGUAAUGAUAUGUUUAUGUAAUAUUUUGAUUAAUGUCUCUCCUUCACUGACCUAGCAGUUCUAGCAGGGCAGUGAUUUUGCUGUGUUGCAUCCCCAGCACCUAGUCUGGUAUGUGGCAUUCAGCAUAUGUUUAUUGAAUGAAUGGCCAUGUGGUUAUUCAGAUCCUCCUUGAUUAUUGGGGUUAGGAUUGUGGCAGAAGUGGCAAAAUCAGGGAGAGUAGUCCCUGUCCCCUCUGUAUCUUAUACACUGCCCACACUCCCAACACACAUACACAUACAGAGAAUUUUGUCUCAAUUAGAUAAUUAACUUCUGCUUGGUUGUAAACCAAACCACUGGUUCUUAAACUUUCAUUGGAUCAUUUUAUUGAAGAAUUAAAUAGUGUGGUUCUGGCCUAAUGUCUGGAAAGCCUUGCAGAGGAGUGGAUUAGGUCUUUGUGAUAAACAGGCAGCCUUCCCUGCUCCUGUGUCUUUAUAAAAUCUAUUUAACUGGAGUAGUCCACCCUCCCUCAGGCUCUUACAGGAAUAUGUUGGAGGCUGUAGGAAGGUGGGAAACCGAGAGGGAAAGGACUGGGCCGCUGGAGACUUCACUCAUUCCCUAGCAAGAAACAAAAGCAGUAAAAGGUGGCCCGAGGACAACCUGAAGCUCACUCCUUCAGCACUUUUGGCUGGAGGUCACUUGUUGGAGCCCCACUCAGAGCUCAGCACACCACCCCACCAGCAGCCUCCUCCUCCCAGCUGAGGCUGCAUUUCAUCCCUUCCCCCAGCCUGCUUUCCCUGAGAUAGGGGAGUGUUUCCCAGGGCCCAUGUGACUUCCACUGGCAAGUGACGAUUACCAAUGGUUUACUAGUCAGUGAAACUACCAAAGGCUUUUGUGCUGUAGUAAUCCUUUUCCUGUUUAAAACUCUGGGGAUUUUCUAAUGUUGCCAAUAGUUUUUCAAGUCAGCAAUUACUGUGUGGAUUAUGUAAUGGCUCG